CCCUUAGAUGUUCUGGGCUGCACGCGUGCUACACUGAUAUUGCCAAUAUGUCAUUCUUAUCCGAAAUGGAUUGGGUAAUCAAGUAAUGAAAUUUCAUGCUUGGAAUCGGUAAUUGCAAUUUUAUCGUGAACGAGGAAUUCCUAGUAAGCACUAGUCAUCAGCUAAUGUUGAUUAUGUCCCUGCCCUUUGUACACACCGCCCGUCGCUACUACUGAUUGGGUGUUCAAGUGAGAUGCUUAGACCCUUGUUGCAUGGUUCAUUAUUGUGCCCCGAAAGGAAAAAGUUUCAAGCUUGAGUGUCUAGAGGAAGUAAAAGUCGUAACA
RNAcentral lists this ribosomal RNA (323 nucleotides) under uncultured eukaryote. RNAcentral describes it as "partial 18S ribosomal RNA". It matches the Rfam family "Eukaryotic small subunit ribosomal RNA", at positions 1470 to 1796 of the family's 1831-position model. The record is from RNAcentral.